CGUCAAAGGUUAAUUAUACACUCAGAUAAAUUCCCCAAACAAAUCAAAACCCUACUACAAUACUGAAUAAUUCCAUAAAUUUAUGGAAGAUAUAAUGUUAAAACUAGUAACAUGAAGUCAAAUUCUUCUCUUAAAUGCAAAUGUAAGUCAGAAUGGAACACACACUGACAAUUAACAGCCUAAACUAAAGUAGUAACUACACAAGAAAACCCUACUAACAUACCUGUUAACCUAACACAAGAACAUUUAAAGAAAGACUUAAAGAAAAAGAAGGAACUCGGCAAAACUGAUUCCGCCUGUUUACCAAAAACAUCGCCUCCUGAUAAACCAUAGGAGGUCCAGCCUGCCCAGUGACUCUGUUUAACGGCCGCGGAACCCUAACCGUGCGAAGGUGAGCGUAAUCACCUGUUUUUUAAUUAAAGACCUGUAUGAAAGGCAUCACGAGAAUCACACUGUCUCCUUUCUCAAGUCAGUGAAACUAAUCUCCUCGUGAAAAAGCGAGGAUAAUACUACAAGACGAGAAGACCCUUUGGAGCUUAAGACAAAAUAAAUACUUGCCUACUUUUACCCACUACACCACACAGCACUCUAUUUAUAAGUCUUGGGUUGGGGCAACCACGGAGUAAAAACAAACCUCCGAGCUGAACGGAAAUUUCCUAAACAAAAAGUAACAGCUUUAUGUAUCAGAAAACUGACACAAUUUGACCCAAUAUAUUUGAUUAACGAACCAAGUUACCCCAGGGAUAACAGCGCAAUCCACUUAAAGAGUUCAUAUCGAAAAGUGGGCUUACGACCUCG
This 798-nucleotide ribosomal RNA is filed under the name Eleutherodactylus etheridgei (Etheridge's robber frog). RNAcentral describes it as "partial 16S ribosomal RNA". It matches the Rfam family "Bacterial large subunit ribosomal RNA", at positions 1511 to 2528 of the family's 2925-position model. Lineage: Eukaryota; Metazoa; Chordata; Amphibia; Anura; Eleutherodactylidae. The record is from RNAcentral.